CCUACGGGGGGCUGCAGUGGGGAAUAUUGGACAAUGGGGGGAACCCUGAUCCAGCCAUGCCGCGUGUGUGAAGAAGGCCCUCGGGUUGUAAAGCACUUUCAGUGAGGAAGAACGCCUGGUGGUUAAUACCCAUCAGGAAAGACAUCACUCACAGAAGAAGCACCGGCUAACUCCGUGCCAGCAGCCGCGGUAAUACGGAGGGUGCGAGCGUUAAUCGGAAUUACUGGGCGCAAAGCGCGCGUAGGUGGCUUGAUAAGCCGGUUGUGAAAGCCCCGGGCUCAACCUGGGAACGGCAUCCGGAACUGUCAAGCUAGAGUGCAGGAGAGGAAGGUAGAAUUCCCGGUGUAGCGGUGAAAUGCGUAGAGAUCGGGAGGAAUACCAGUGGCGAAGGCGGCCUUCUGGACUGACACUGACACUGAGGUGCGAAAGCGUGGGUAGCAAACAGGAUUAGAUACCCUUGUAGUC
This 465-nucleotide ribosomal RNA is filed under the name Vreelandella stevensii. RNAcentral's name for it is "partial 16S ribosomal RNA". It matches the Rfam family "Bacterial small subunit ribosomal RNA", at positions 338 to 795 of the family's 1533-position model. The record is from RNAcentral. Lineage: Bacteria; Pseudomonadati; Pseudomonadota; Gammaproteobacteria; Oceanospirillales; Halomonadaceae.